This 263-nucleotide ribosomal RNA is filed under the name uncultured bacterium. RNAcentral's name for it is "partial 16S ribosomal RNA". It matches the Rfam family "Bacterial small subunit ribosomal RNA", at positions 793 to 1055 of the family's 1533-position model. The record is from RNAcentral.
GUCCACGCCGUAAACGAUGGGCACUAGGCGCUUGGGGGAGCGACCCCCCGAGGGCCGGCGCUAACGCAUUAAGUGCCCCGCCUGGGGAGUACGGCCGCAAGGCUGAAACUCAAAGGAAUUGACGGGGCCCGCACAAGCGGUGGAGCAUGUGGUUUAAUUCGACGCAACGCGAAGAACCUUACCUAGGCUUGACAUACACGGGAAACCCUCGAGAAACCGGGGCCCUCUUCGGAGCCCGUGCACAGGUGCUGCAUGGCUGUCGU